AACGAACGCUGGCGGCAUGCCUAACACAUGCAAGUCGAACGAGACCUUCGGGUCUAGUGGCGCACGGGUGCGUAACGCGUGGGAACCUGCCCUUAGGUUCGGAAUAACUCCCCGAAAGGGGUGCUAAUACCGGAUAAUGUCUUCGGACCAAAGAUUUAUCGCCUUUGGAUGGGCCCGCGUUGGAUUAGCUAGUUGGUAGGGUAAAAGCCUACCAAGGCGACGAUCCAUAGCUGGUCUGAGAGGAUGAUCAGCGACACUGGGACUGAGACACGGCCCAGACUCCUACGGGAGGCAGCAGUGGGGAAUAUUGGACAAUCGGCGAAAGCCUGAUCCAGCAAUGCCGCGUGAGUGAUGAAGGCCGUAGGGUUGUAAAGCUCUUUUACCCGGGAUGAUAAUGACAGUACCGGGAGAAUAAGCUCCGGCUAACUCCGUG
This 433-nucleotide ribosomal RNA is filed under the name uncultured bacterium. RNAcentral's name for it is "partial 16S ribosomal RNA". It matches the Rfam family "Bacterial small subunit ribosomal RNA", at positions 29 to 507 of the family's 1533-position model. The record is from RNAcentral.